GAUGAACGCUGACAGAAUGCUUAACACAUGCAAGUCUACUUGAACUUCGGUUUGGGUGGCGGACGGGUGAGUAACGCGUAAAGAACUUGCCUCACAGAUAGGGACAACAUUUGGAAACGAAUGCUAAUACCUGAUAUUAUGAUUUUAGGGCAUCCUAGAAUUAUGAAAGCUAUAUGCACUGUGAGAGAGCUUUGCGUCCCAUUAGCUAGUUGGAGAGGUAACGGCUCACCAAGGCGAUGAUGGGUAGCCGGCCUGAGAGGGUGAUCGGCCACAAGGGGACUGAGACACGGCCCUUACUCCUACGGGAGGCAGCAGUGGGGAAUAUUGGACAAUGGACCAAGAAUCUGAUCCAGCAAUUCUGUGUGCACGAUGAAGUUUUUCGGAAUGUAAAGUGCUUUCAGUUGGGAAGAAAAAAAUGACGGUACCAACAGAAGAAGUGACGGCUAAAUACGUG
This 454-nucleotide ribosomal RNA is filed under the name uncultured bacterium. RNAcentral describes it as "partial 16S ribosomal RNA". It matches the Rfam family "Bacterial small subunit ribosomal RNA", at positions 28 to 507 of the family's 1533-position model. The record is from RNAcentral.